UUCCGGUUGAUCCCGCCGGAGGCUACUGCUAUUGGAAUUCGACUAAGCCAUGCGAGUCAAGGUGUCUUCGGACGCCGGCAAACGGCUCAGUAACACGUAGGUAAUCUACCCUCAGGACUGAGAUAACCCCGGGAAACUGGGGCUAAUACCAGAUAGAUAAAAGAUACUGGAAUGUUCUUUUAUCCAAAGCUUUUGUGCCUGAGGAUGAGCCUGCGCCCGAUUAGGUAGUUGGUGGGGUAAUGGCCCACCAAGCCUGCGAUCGGUACGGGCAGUGGGAGCUGUAGCCCGGAGUUGGGGACUGAGACAAGGCCCCAGGCCCUACGGGGCGCAGCAGGCGCGAAACCUCUGCAAUGCGGGAAACCGUGACAGGGGGAUUCCAAGUGCUCAUGCAUUGCAUGGGCUGUUCUUUGGUCUAAGUAACCAGAGGAGUAAGGGCUGGGCAAGACCGGUGCCAGCCGCCGCGGUAAUACCGGCAGCUCGAGUGGUAGCCGCGAUUAUUGGGCCUAAAACGUUCGUAGCCGGAUAAGUAAGUCUUUGGUUAAAUCCUACGACUUAACCGUGGGAAAUCUAGAGAUACUGCUUGUCUUGAGACCGGGAGAGGUUGGAGGUACUCCUAGGGUAGGGGUGAAAUCCUGUAAUCCUAGGGGGACCACCUGUGGCGAAGGCGUCUAACUGGAACGGGUCUGACGGUGAGGGACGAAACCUAGGGGAGCGAGCCGGAUUAGAUACCCGGGUAGUCCUAGGCGUAAAUGAUGCGAGUUAAGUGUGGGGGCAUCUACGAGAUGGCCCUGUGCUGUAGGGUAGCCGUUAAACUCGCCGCCUGGGGAGUACGGUCGCAAGGCUGAAACUUAAAGGAAUUGGCGGGGGAGCACCACAAGAGGUGGAGGCUGCGGUUCAAUUGGAUUCAACGCCGGG
This 915-nucleotide ribosomal RNA is filed under the name uncultured bacterium. RNAcentral's name for it is "bacterial SSU rRNA". It matches the Rfam family "Archaeal small subunit ribosomal RNA", at positions 1 to 922 of the family's 1478-position model. The record is from RNAcentral.